UUUGAACUGACUUUCACCCAGUGCUCCUGUUUUUAGGUCCUCUUUUGUCUGCGUUUCCAGAGCCCACAGAUAAAGGCCUGAGACAACUGGACUUACAGUGAGUCUGCAAACCGUGGACAUGGACCGGCCUGAUCAGCAAAGAACACGGCAGGGGUGUUCAUGGCUCAACAUUUCAAGGUCGGGCCUGAGGGCUGCUCUGUGUCCAGUCCAGAGGCUGGGGAUAUCGAUGCCUCCGUUUUAUUAGCUGCUUCCA
Lemur catta (Ring-tailed lemur) is the source of this 253-nucleotide long non-coding RNA. RefSeq lists it as uncharacterized. NCBI's taxonomy places the organism in Eukaryota, Metazoa, Chordata, Mammalia, Primates, Lemuridae. The record is from RefSeq and is a predicted model, not a curated record. The transcript has 3 exons.